Ustilago bromivora is the source of this 82-nucleotide non-coding RNA. Lineage: Eukaryota; Fungi; Basidiomycota; Ustilaginomycetes; Ustilaginales; Ustilaginaceae. The record is from the annotation of a GenBank genome assembly.
GGUGUCUUGCCCGAGUGGUUAAGGGGUUAGUCUUGAAAACUAAUGCUCUCUGAGCGCACAAGUUCAAAUCUUGUAGGCACCG